AUAAUGAUACUUCUGCACGUUCGGGCUGCCAGCGAUAAAGGCCAGCGGGUGUAACUCCCAUGA
Non-coding RNA from Streptococcus agalactiae LMG 14747, 63 nucleotides. The record is from Rfam. Lineage: Bacteria; Bacillati; Bacillota; Bacilli; Lactobacillales; Streptococcaceae.